ACCAAACAGCUAGCUUUACUCCUAAAAUCGAACUGUCAACAUUUAUAGAUUUUAAUAAACACAACUAAAAUGAAAUUAAACCAUUCUCCUGCCUUAGUACGGGCGACGAAAAAGGCAUCCACCCAAAGCAAUAGAAAAAGUACCGCAAGGGAAAGCUGAAAAAGAAAUGAAAUAAUCCAUUUAAGUAAAACAAAGCAGAGAUUUAACCUCGUACCUUUUGCAUCAUGAUUUAGCUAGUAUUUUUGAGCAAAGAGAGCUUUAGUUCAAGCCCCCGAAACCAAGUGAGCUACCUCGAGACAGCCUUUAAUUAGGGCUAACCCGUCUCUGUGGCAAAAGAGUGGGAAGAGCUCCAGGUAGCGGUGACAGACCUACCGAACUUGGUAAUAGCUGGUUGCCUAGGAAGUGGAUACAAGUUCAGCCUCAUGGUCCUCAGCCCAACAAAAACUUAUUUACCAAAGGAUGCGAGAAACACAUGAGAGUUAGUCAAAAGAGGUACAGCUCUUUUGAACAAGGACACAACCUUACAAGGAGGUAAAGGAUCAUAAUUCACAAGAUUCCUGCUCAAGUGGGCCUAAAAGCAGCCAUCUUGGUAGAAAGCGUUACAGCUCAGGCAGACCCCAAUCUAUUAUCCUUAUAACCCAUCCGAAACCCCUAAACCUACUAGGCCUUUCCAUGCCAACAUGGAAGCGAUUCUGCUAAAAUUAGUAAUAAGAAAGCAACCCUUUCUCCCAGUCCCAGUGUAAGUUAGAUCGGACCUUCCACUAAUAAAUAACGAACCCAACCAAAGAGGGCAACGUAGCCUACAAAGACUACAAGAAAAACCUACGUACAUUAAUCGUUAACCCCACACAGGAGGACUAAACAGGAAAGACUCAAUAAAGAGGAAGGAACUCGGCAAACACAAGCCUCGCCUGUUUACCAAAAACAUCGCCUCCCGCAAAGCUCAACGUAUAGGAGGUCUUGCCUGCCCAGUGAACUAGUUUAAACGGCCGCGGUAUCUUGACCGUGCAAAGGUAGCGCAAUCACUUGUCUUUUAAAUGAAGACCUGUAUGAAUGGUGGAACGAGGGCUUAACUGUCUCCCCCUUUAGGUCAAUGAAAUUGAUCUGCCCGUGCAGAAGCGGACAUAAGCAUACAAGACGAGAAGACCCUUUGGAGCUUAAGACACCAAGACCAACUAUGUCAAUAACCUGUCGCAACACAGAUUAAACCUAAUAGUCCCUGGUCCUAGUCUUCGGUUGGGGCGACCGCGGGGGAAAACAAAGCCCCCACGUGGAAUGAGGUAACCCCUCAAAACCAAGAAGAACACUUCUAAGGCACAGAACAUCUGACCGCAACAGACCCGGCUUAAUAGCCGAUCAACGAACCAAGUUACCCUAGGGAUAACAGCGCAAUCCCCUCCCAGAGUCCCUAUCGACAAGGGGGUUUACGACCUCGAUGUUGGAUCAGGACAUCCUAAUGGUGCAGCCGCUAUUAAGGGUUCGUUUGUUCAACGAUUAAAGUCCUACGUGAUCUGAGUUCAGACCGGAGCAA
This 1531-nucleotide ribosomal RNA is filed under the name Microstomatichthyoborus bashforddeani. Its description in RNAcentral is "16S ribosomal RNA". It matches the Rfam family "Bacterial large subunit ribosomal RNA", at positions 144 to 2624 of the family's 2925-position model. Lineage: Eukaryota; Metazoa; Chordata; Actinopteri; Characiformes; Distichodontidae. The record is from RNAcentral.